CUUGGUGCUAACAUAGGUCCCUAGUACUGACACUUGGUGCUAACAUAGGUCCCUAGUCCUGACACUUGGUGCUAACAUAGGUCCCUAGUCCUGACACUUGGUGCUAACAUAGGUCCCUAGUCCUGACACUUGGUGCUAACAUAGGUCCCUAGUCCUGACACUUGGUGCUAACAUAGGUCCCUAGUCCUGACACUUGGUGCUAACAUAGGUCCCUAGUCCUGACACUUGGUGCUAACAUAGGUCCC
This is a long non-coding RNA of Oncorhynchus keta (chum salmon), 245 nucleotides long. RefSeq lists it as uncharacterized. NCBI's taxonomy places the organism in Eukaryota, Metazoa, Chordata, Actinopteri, Salmoniformes, Salmonidae. The record is from RefSeq and is a predicted model, not a curated record. The transcript has 3 exons.